UACGUAGGGACCAAGCGUUGUUCGGAUUUACUGGGCGUAAAGGGCGCGUAGGCGGCUUAACAAGUCACUUGUGAAAUCUCCGGGCUUAACUCGGAACGGCCAAGUGAAACUGUCAAGCUAGAGUGCAGAAGGGGCAAUCGGAAUUCUUGGUGUAGCGGUGAAAUGCGCAGAUAUCAGGAGGAACACCGGUGGCGAAGGCGGGUCUCUGGGCCGAUACUGACGCUGAGGAGCGAAAGCGUGGGGAGCGAACAGG
Molecule: ribosomal RNA, 253 nt
Filed under: uncultured bacterium
Lineage: Bacteria
Description: partial 16S ribosomal RNA
Rfam family: Bacterial small subunit ribosomal RNA
Source: RNAcentral